GACGAACGCUGGCGGCGUGCCUAAUACAUGCAAGUCGAACGCUGAAGGAGGAGCUUGCUUCUCUGUAUGAGUUGCGAACGGGUGAGUAACGCGUAGGUAACCUGCCUGGUAUCGUGGGAUAACUAUUGGAAACGAUAGCUCAUACCCCAUAAUAGUAGAUGUUGCAUGAUAUUUGCUUAAAAGGUGCAAUUGCAUCACUACCAGAUGGACCUGCGUUGUAUUGGUUAGUUGGUGGGGUAACGGCUCUCCAAGGCGUCGAUACAUAGCCGGCCUGCGGGGGUGGACGGCCACACUGGGACUGUGAACCGGCCCAAACUCCCAGGGGGCGGAGGAGUAGGGAAACGUCGGAAAUGGACGGAAGGCUGAACGAGCAAAGCCGCGUGGGUGAAGGAGGUUUUCGGGUCGUAAAGGUAUGUUGUACGGGAAGAAAGAGUGUGGGCGUGGAAAGUUCACACGGUGACGGUAUCUUACAAAAAAGCGACGGCUAACUACGUG
Molecule: ribosomal RNA, 495 nt
Filed under: uncultured bacterium
Lineage: Bacteria
Description: partial 16S ribosomal RNA
Rfam family: Bacterial small subunit ribosomal RNA
Source: RNAcentral